Molecule: long non-coding RNA, 400 nt
Organism: Megalopta genalis
Lineage: Eukaryota; Metazoa; Arthropoda; Insecta; Hymenoptera; Halictidae
Source: RefSeq, a predicted model, not a curated record
GUAGUCACGUGAUUUUACGGAUUCAGCAGGUCGGUAUUUGCUGUACAGAUUUCGUUAUAUAAAUGGUAUUAUCUAGAGAUGUAUAGCUGCUUGAUAAAUACGAGAUGGAGUUACCGGCGUUUUCUACUGGAGAUUAAAAAGAAACUCAAUUCAAAUAGAAAUGUAUUUUCCGGAUCGAGAAAUGCAGUGACAUUUUCUCAUAACUUUUGAACCAUUGAAGCGGUGCGAAAUGAGGAAUACAAUGCCGUUUUUCUAACAUUUAUAGAAACGUAUAAACAUUCACAUAAAUACAUUGCAGCGGCCAACAAGAAAUUUAUGUAGGGAUUGUACAAAAAUCCUACUGUUCUACUGUUAUGUAAAUUUAAUUUAUUAACAAUUAAUAAAUGCAUUUUCAGUAUAU